Molecule: ribosomal RNA, 578 nt
Filed under: Meroleptus sp. ARC1383
Lineage: Eukaryota; Metazoa; Arthropoda; Insecta; Coleoptera; Curculionidae
Also listed under: 3 other names
Description: SSU rRNA
Rfam family: Eukaryotic small subunit ribosomal RNA
Source: RNAcentral
GUCAUAUGCUUGUCUCAAAGAUUAAGCCAUGCAUGUCUCAGUACAAGCCAAAUUAAGGUGAAACCGCGAAAGGCUCAUUAAAUCAGUUAUGGUUCCUUAGAUCGUACCCACAAUUACUUGGAUAACUGUGGUAAUUCUAGAGCUAAUACAUGCAAACAGAGCUCCGACCGGAGACGGAAGGAGUGCUUUUAUUAGAUCAAAACCAAUCGGUGGCGGGUUCGCUCGUCAUCGUACAACUUGGUGACUCUGAAUAACUUUACGCUGAUCGCACGGUCACCGCACCGGCGACGCAUCUUUCAAAUGUCUGCCUUAUCAACUGUCGAUGGUAGGUUCUGCGCCUACCAUGGUUGUAACGGGUAACGGGGAAUCAGGGUUCGAUUCCGGAGAGGGAGCCUGAGAAACGGCUACCACAUCCAAGGAAGGCAGCAGGCGCGCAAAUUACCCACUCCCGGCACGGGGAGGUAGUGACGAAAAAUAACGAUACGGGACUCAUCCGAGGCCCCGUAAUCGGAAUGAGUACACUCUAAACCCUUUAACGAGGAUCAAUUGGAGGGCAAGUCUGGUGCCAGCAGCCGCGG